Molecule: ribosomal RNA, 460 nt
Filed under: uncultured bacterium
Lineage: Bacteria
Description: partial 16S ribosomal RNA
Rfam family: Bacterial small subunit ribosomal RNA
Source: RNAcentral
CCUACGGGAGGCAGCAGUGAGGAAUAUUGGUCAAUGGGAGGAAUCCUGAACCAGCCAUGCCGCGUGCAGGACGACGGCUCUACGAGUUGUAAACUGCUUUUGUACCGGGGUAAAAUGCUCUACGUGUAGGGUUUUGAAAGUACGGUAUGAAUAAGGAUCGGCUAACUCCGUGCCAGCAGCCGCGGUAAUACGGAGGAUCCGAGCGUUAUCCGGAUUGAUUGGGUUUAAAGGGAGCGUAGGUUGUUUUAUAAGUUAGUGGUGAAAUACCGAUGCUCAACAGCGGAGCUGCAGCUGAUACUGGAGGACUUGAGUUCGGAUGCGGCAGGCGGAAUGUGUGGUGUAGCGGUGAAAUGCAUAGAUAUUACGCAGAACACCGAUUGCGAAGGCAGCUUGCUAGACCGGAUCUGACACUGAUGCACGAAAGCGUGGGGAUCGAACAGGAUUAGAUACCCCUGUAGUC